AGGGUGACAGGUGGUGCAUGGUUGUCGUCAGCUCGUGUCGUGAGAUGUUGGGUUAAGUCCCGCAACGAGCGCAACCCUUGUCACUAGUUGCCACCAUUCAGUUGGGCACUCUAGUGAGACUGCCGGUGACAAACCGGAGGAAGGUGGGGAUGACGUCAAGUCCUCAUGGCCCUUAUGGGUAGGGCUUCGCACGUCAUACAAUGGUCGGUACAGAGGGUUGCCAAACCGCGAGGUGGAGCCAAUCCCUUAAAGCCGAUCGUAGUCCGGAUCGUAGUCUGCAACUCGACUACGUGAAGUCGGAAUCGCUAGUAAUCGCAGAUCAGCAUGCUGCGGUGAAUACGUUCCCGGGUCUU
Molecule: ribosomal RNA, 353 nt
Filed under: uncultured Thauera sp.
Lineage: Bacteria; Pseudomonadati; Pseudomonadota; Betaproteobacteria; Rhodocyclales; Zoogloeaceae
Description: bacterial SSU rRNA
Rfam family: Bacterial small subunit ribosomal RNA
Source: RNAcentral